This 2341-nucleotide long non-coding RNA is filed under the name Homo sapiens (human). RNAcentral's name for it is "HSALNT0361658". Lineage: Eukaryota; Metazoa; Chordata; Mammalia; Primates; Hominidae. The record is from RNAcentral.
GAGCUGGUCCAUGGCGAGGAGGGACAGGACGGACACCUGGCAAGUCCUGCCCUGCCUGUCCCCCAACCUUGGUCGGCCCGCCCGCGCACGGCUGGCCUCCCUAGGCCACAUUCUUGCACAAAGUUCGAGAGGCUGUGGGAAAAGCAACCCUGAACCGGCCAAGGGCCGGCGAAGCUGAUCCCGCAAUGGCAUUUUGUUUUGAACAGUUGCUGGGGUUGACGUUUCCUCAUAAGGUAAGGUGUCACUGGACAGUCGGCUGCCCAAAUGCCACAUGUAUAAUUAGCCUGCGCACUCAGCACCUCGUCCCCGAGGCCCGCAGGCACGGGCUUGGCCGACCUGGUCCGCUCAGCUCUGUUCUGGGUUCCAGGAUUCCCGAGGGAGGGCCGAACCUGCCAGGGCAGCCUCGGGAGGCCGUGGCAGAGAAGAAUGUGACAGUGUAGCCUUGUCUUGGAUUUUUUUUUAAUCUUUUCUUUUCUUCUCUUCCUAUUUUAUCUUCUUAUUUUUCGGCUGUUCAACUAUUGGUAAGAGGGGUACUGGACACCAGCGCAGAGUGCAGACUGAAUGGGGAAAGGAGAUGCAGAGAAAAUCUGGCAACAUACCUAUUCUUCACAUCCUACUCGUGGGGGAGGGCUGCUAGUGGCCCUCUGCACCAACCCAGUAAGACCAUUCCAGGCUUGGCAUUGUAUGUCCUGGCUUGGGUAGGGACUUCAUGCUUCUAGGUUGGAUUGUUUACCUGUCUCUGUGCUCCCUCCCACCCCCACUCCCAAAGGUCUCUCAGAAGUUAAUAUCCGUGCUCUGAUUGCAGCUUCUGGUUUCCCCCUCCAGGCCUAGCCGCUUGGGGCUGCUAGUGAUCACUGUGGGAAAGCCUGGGCAGAUCUACUGUCUUUCCCUAUCUUACUCUGGUUCAGCCUGGGGUUCUUAGGAGCAGAAAGAUAAAUUUUUGCAUCUUUGGUGACCAACUUCAAUUUGCUGCUCUGUAAUCUACUGGCUCUUCUAUUUCUGUAUUUGCUCUCUUUCUACGAACAUUUUAUUGUGGUGUGUGUGGCGAGGAAUUCAUUGAUGUAUUUUAUUUACUAAGCUCCCAUGGUCUAUAAAGCCUUCUAAAGAUUUCUCUGGAUUGAAGCACCAUGUAUUGAAGAAGCCUAACGUGAUAUUAUUAAAUCCUUUAAGAGUUUUGCGUGUUUUAACUAUUUUUAAUCAAAUUACUUAAGUAUAUUGAUUUGAUGCUCUUCAAUGAUGAUACGUAUAAAUAGGCAUAAUAAAUAUAAGAUAAAUUCAAAGUGCACUAUGUGAUGUGCAUAUUACAGUGUAUACAAACAUUCUAUGUUCUCUCGGUUCUCUCUUGAUCUCUUUCUUCUCAGAAAAAUCUCCCACGAUAACCCUUGAAAUGAUCUGUCACCCUUGCUACCUUCAAUAAUUUGUUGUUUCCAGUCAUCUUAAAGAGACGAAUUGUCUAUCUUUGAUAUAUCCAUUCACAUGUAAAAAGGGACUUUAUGCUGUUUGUGAUUUUGACUUCACCGAGCACAAUUUCUUUGCUUCUUUGAAAAGUGGUUCUUUAAAAUUAGACAAAGAAAAUUAAAGAUGCUUCACUUUCCAAGGCCACACAAGCCCCAUAUGUAGAAAAAAGAAAAUGCAACAGAUUUUUUUUUUUUUAAAGAGCAUACUCAUUCCCAGGCAUGGUUGCAAAUGCUACAUUUUAUACUUUACAAAUAGGUCAUUGAAUAACAUAAAGACUUACUAAGUUCUAGACACCCUGAAGAGCAUUUUUGAAGCCACGAGUCUUUACUUUUAAAGGAUUUUCUCUUCUUCUGAAGAUUUUCAUAGUUGGUAGGUGGAGAAACUUAGGUGUGGUUGUCUUGAUGCUAAGCAGGUUGUUGAUAAAACUGAGUAAGAAUGCCCUCAGCUAAGAGAGAGUAGUUCAUUGCAUUUUCUUGGGAAAGAAUAUUGAAGGUCAGGAAUAUUUUUAUUUUCUCAAAAUAAUUUCCAACUAGGUCCAUGGGCAUUGAACCUUCUGUGUAUGAGAAGUCAGCUCCUCUCCUCCCAAUAUAUCCAUGGUAUAAUCCCUAAGCCUCAGUUUCCUUAUCUAUAAAAUGGGAAUAAUAAUAAUAAUACCUAUAUCAUAGGGUUGUUUUGAGGAUUAAAUGAGAUAAACGAAUGUAAAGCACUAAGCUGAGGGAUUGGUAUAAAAUAAACAUUUAAUACAUGUUAUCUGUUAUAGUUGAAGUGGUUCUAUACUUACAGUUAUCUGGAUCUGGCUUCCCAUUCCAGCUUUACUACAUAAUUGCUAUGUAAUCUUUGGGAAGUUACAUAACUUGCUUCUUUCCCUCUUAUGUAAAAUAGA